Molecule: long non-coding RNA, 1048 nt
Organism: Homo sapiens (human)
Lineage: Eukaryota; Metazoa; Chordata; Mammalia; Primates; Hominidae
Gene: PPIEL
Product: peptidylprolyl isomerase E like (pseudogene)
Source: Ensembl
CAUCCAGGCUGGAUUGCAGUGUCAUUGAUCAUAGCUCAAGCGGUCUUCCUGCCUCAGCCUCCCAAAGUGCUGUGAUUACAGGUGUGAGCCACUGCACCUGGCCUCUUCAUAUCUUACAACGAAAAGCACCAAGGAUUCUCUUUUGUUGAAUUUGAGUUGGCAGAGGAUGUUGCAGCAGCUGUCAACAACAUGUUUGGUCAGAUGAAGACUGGGUGGAGAAGUUUGCUGGGAAGAGGAUAAAGAGGAAGGUGGUUGAGACUUCCCAAAGCAGAAAGCCAGGAGGUGAGAAAUAUCUUAUGUGGGCUCAGGUAUUUGUGAUUGCUGCUGAGCAAGGCGGAUAUCUGAGGAAACAAGAGUUUGUAGAUACCUGUAAAUCUCUGUUUUGAUGAAGCUUUUCUGAAUCCUCCAGUGAGUAAGGGAGAGCCCACUGCUAAAAAAGGCCUAGUCAAAUCCUCAGGUGUACAUGGACAUCAAGAUUGGGAACAAGCCGGCUGGCUGCAUCCAAACCCUCCUGCGUUCCGACGUCGUGCCCAUGACCACAGAGAAUUUUCUCUACAUGUGCACCCAUUUAAAGGACUCGGCUUCAAGGGAAGCAGCUUCCACCGCAUUAUCCCCCAGUUCAUUUGCCAGGGCAGUGAUUUCACAAACCACGGUGGCACCAGGGGUCUGCGCAGGCAUGGCACUAAGUGUCCCAUGGCACAUUUGGCCCUCAUGGAGGCCUCAAAAGGGCAGGACCAGCACCCUCUUCUACGGAGGAAGGAACGGGCACAGCAGACUUGCGGAUCCUGCUCCCCUUCCCACUUCUGCACUUGGGGGUCUAAUGAGGCCUCAGUGGAACAUAGAAUUCCUCCCGCCCUGACAUCAUAGCUCCCGCCUGGGAGGCCUCCUGGAUGACUCCUUUCGCCUCCUCCCUUCCCUGAGAGCAGCCCCUGGCUCAACCUCCACCUCCGUGCUGCCUCGGACCACCUGCCCAGUCGAGCUGCCAUCACCUGCCAGGGUGAGCCACUGCGCCUGAUCAAGGCAUCACCGUUGAACCUCCUAAGAGGAA